GACGAACGCUGGCGGCGUGCUUAACACAUGCAAGUCGAACGAACAGGCGCGGCGCUUGCGCGUUGCUCGUUAGGCGAGCGGGGGAGUAACACAUGAAUAACCUGCACUUGACUGUGUGAGAACAUCAGGAAACACGGGAGAAUACCGGAGAGGAGAUCCUGCAGCGCGGGGUUGGUUGGAGAGUGUCGGCGGUGGUGGAUGGACUCGCGGCUUAUCAGCUGGAUGGGGGGGUAGUGGAUGACCAGGCCUUCGACGGGUAGCCGGCCUGAGAGCGUGACCGGCCUCAUUGGGACUGCGGUACGGCCCAGACUGCUACGGGAGGCAGCAGUCGAGAGCCUUGCGGAGUAGCGGCACGCCUGAUGCAGCAACGCCGGGUGCGUGAUGCCGGCCUUCGGGUUAUGAACCGAUUUGUAAUGUGAUGAAGACUGCGUGACGGUACUGAGUCAGAAAGCCCCGGCUAACUACGUG
Molecule: ribosomal RNA, 468 nt
Filed under: uncultured bacterium
Lineage: Bacteria
Description: partial 16S ribosomal RNA
Rfam family: Bacterial small subunit ribosomal RNA
Source: RNAcentral